AACGCACAUUGCGCCCCUUGGUAUUCCAUGGGGCAUGCCUGUUCGAGCGUCAUUUGUACCUUCAAGCACUGCUUGGUGUUGGGUGUUUGUCCGCGUUUUACACACGCGGACUCGCCUUAAAGUGAUUGGCAGCCGGCGUACUAGCCUCGGAGCGCAGCACAUUUUGCGCCCCUUGACCUGAACGUUGGCGUCCAGUAAGCCUAUACUUUUGCUCUUGACCUCGGAUCAGGUAGGGAUACCCGCUGAACUUAA
RNAcentral lists this unclassified non-coding RNA (252 nucleotides) under uncultured fungus. Its description in RNAcentral is "partial contains 5.8S ribosomal RNA, internal transcribed spacer 2, and large subunit ribosomal RNA". Lineage: Eukaryota; Fungi. The record is from RNAcentral.